RNAcentral lists this ribosomal RNA (505 nucleotides) under uncultured bacterium. RNAcentral's name for it is "partial 16S ribosomal RNA". It matches the Rfam family "Bacterial small subunit ribosomal RNA", at positions 28 to 507 of the family's 1533-position model. The record is from RNAcentral.
GACGAACGCUGGCGGCGUGCCUAAUACAUGCAAGUCGAACGCACAGUUUAUACCGUAGCUUGCUACACCAUAGACUGUGAGUUGCGAACGGGUGAGUAACGCGUAGGUAACCUGCCUGGUAGCGGGGGAUAACUAUUGGAAACGAUAGCUAAUACCGCAUAAUAUUAAUUAUUGCAUGAUAAUUAAUUGAAAGGUGCAAUUGCACCACUACCAGCUGGACCUGCGUUGUAUUAGCUAGUAGGUGAGGUAACGGCUCACCUAGGCGACGAUACAUAGCCGACCUGAGAGGGUGAUCGGCCACACUGGGACUGAGACACGGCCCAGACUCCUACGGGAGGCAGCAGUAGGGAAUCUUCGGCAAUGGACGAAAGUCUGACCGAGCAACGCCGCGUGAGUGAAGAAGGUUUUCGGAUCGUAAAGCUCUGUUGUAAGAGAAGAACGGGUGUGAGAGUGGAAAGUUCACACUGUGACGGUAUCUUACCAGAAAGGGACGGCUAACUACGUG